GAUGAACGCUAGCGACAGGCUUAACACAUGCAAGUCGAGGGGCAGCACAGGUAGCAAUACCGGGUGGCGACCGGCGCACGGGUGAGUAACGCGUAUGCAACUUACCUAUCAGAGGGGGAUAACCCGGCGAAAGUCGGACUAAUACCGCAUGAAGCAGGGGUCCCGCAUGGGGAUAUUUGCUAAAGAUUCAUCGCUGAUAGAUAGGCAUGCGUUCCAUUAGGCAGUUGGCGGGGUAACGGCCCACCAAACCGACGAUGGAUAGGGGUUCUGAGAGGAAGGUCCCCCACAUUGGUACUGAGACACGGACCAAACUCCUACGGGAGGCAGCAGUGAGGAAUAGUGGGCAAUGGCCGAGAGGCUGAACCAGCCAAGUCGCGUGAGGGAUGAAGGUUCUAUGGAUCGUAAACCUCUUUUAUAAGGGAAUAAAGUGCGGGACGUGUCCCGUUUUGUAUGUACCUUAUGAAUAAGGAUCGGCUAACUCCGUG
RNAcentral lists this ribosomal RNA (485 nucleotides) under uncultured bacterium. RNAcentral's name for it is "partial 16S ribosomal RNA". It matches the Rfam family "Bacterial small subunit ribosomal RNA", at positions 28 to 507 of the family's 1533-position model. The record is from RNAcentral.